Sarcophilus harrisii (Tasmanian devil) is the source of this 100-nucleotide small nuclear RNA. Lineage: Eukaryota; Metazoa; Chordata; Mammalia; Dasyuromorphia; Dasyuridae. The record is from Ensembl.
GGGCUCACUUCAGCAGCAUAUAUACUAAAAUUGGAUACAGAGGUUAGCAUGGCCCCUGUGCAAGAAUGACAUACUAAUUCGUGAAGAUAAUUGGAUUUAU